ACUUCAUGUUUUGCAGACGAAGAUCAGCUCUAGAAACCCUAGGAACAACAGACCUGCACGUUAGCAUUGCUUCAUUAUGUAUUGCCUUUCAGAGGCAUGUGGCUUCUCUCCCUCUGGUCCACUGACAUCUGCAGCAAAAAGUCUUGCUCUGGCCAUUGAGCAGCAUCAAAUAGUUCAUGGGACCAGCUCUAGCCGGGAUGCUGCCAGCUUUGACUGAUGCCCUGCUGCUGUCUCCUGCGUUCCUGCAAGAAGUUCCUCUCUGCCAGUUCCCCAUCCUCUCCCAGAUCACACGACUGAGAGCCUGGAGAGUUUAAGGCUAUAAAUCAGCCGUCCCUGAGAAGUCUGCAAUUACGAGUGAGUUCUUGUAUAAGGAAGCUAAGCAGCUUGUA
RNAcentral lists this long non-coding RNA (389 nucleotides) under Apteryx owenii (little spotted kiwi). RNAcentral's name for it is "lncRNA (ENSAOWG00000019026.1)". Lineage: Eukaryota; Metazoa; Chordata; Aves; Apterygiformes; Apterygidae. The record is from RNAcentral.